UACGUAGGGUGCAAGCGUUGUCCGGAAUUAUUGGGCGUAAAGAGCUCGUAGGCGGUUUGUCGCGUCUGCUGUGAAAACUCAGGGCUUAACCCUGAGCCUGCAGUGGGUACGGGCAGACUAGAGUGUGGUAGGGGAGAUCGGAAUUCCUGGUGUAGCGGUGAAAUGCGCAGAUAUCAGGAGGAACACCGGUGGCGAAGGCGGCCAUCUGGACCGCAACUGACGCUGAGGCGCGAAAGCGUGGGGAGCAAACAGG
This 253-nucleotide ribosomal RNA is filed under the name uncultured bacterium. Its description in RNAcentral is "partial 16S ribosomal RNA". It matches the Rfam family "Bacterial small subunit ribosomal RNA", at positions 524 to 776 of the family's 1533-position model. The record is from RNAcentral.